AACCCUGAACCCCGACCAAGAAGACCAACGUCUGACACCCCCUCAGCAUCAACCCUGAACCCCCGACCAAGAAGACCAAAGUCUGACACCCCCUCAGCAUCAACCCUGAACCCCCGACCAAGAAGACCAACGUCUGACACCCCCCUCAGCAUCAACCCUGAACCCCGACCAAGAAGACCAACGUCUGACACCCCCUCAGCAUCAACCCUGAACCCCCGACCAAGAAGACCAACGUCUGACACCCCCUCAGCAUCAACCCUGAACCCCCGACCAAGAAGACCAACGUCUGACACCCCCUCAGCAUCAACCCCCCUCCUCCCUAUCUACCAUUCUUCCUCUACGAGGACAAUCAUUGAUAAUCAAUACGUUUUGAUGCUGCCGGUUUUAUUUCCUGUUGUAACUGACCAAUCACAUUAAUACUGCCUCAUUUCCUGUUAUAACUGGCCAAUCACAUUAAUACUGUCUCAUUUCCUGUUGUAACUGGCCAAUCACGUUAAUACUGUCUUGUUUCCUGUUAUAACUGACCAAUCACAUUAAUACUGCCUCUCAUUUCCUGUUGUAACUGGCAAAUCACUGGUUCCGAUUUUAUACAGACAGAAAUAAUGUCCUAAAUAACGUCCCCUUUCAUGGUGCUCUCCUGGUCCAACGUACGGCCCUAUAGAGGGUGUCAUUUCAGAUUGAACAAAUCCUUCUAAUAUCCUGCCUUUUUAUAUAGACUGGUGAUGUCAUCAACCUGCGACCUAAAUAACGUCCCCUUUCAUGGUGCUCUCCUGCUCCAACCUACGGCCCUAUAGAGGGUGUCAUUUCAGAUUGAACAAAUCCUUCUAAUAUCCUGCCUUUUUAUAUAGACUGGUGAUGUCAUCAACCUGCGACCUAAAUAACGUCCCCUUUCAUGGUGCUCUCCUGGUCCAACGUACAGCCCUAUAGAGGGUGUCAUUUCAGAUUGAACAAAUCCUUCUAAUAUCCUGCCUUUUUAUAUAGACUGGUGAUGUCAUCAACCUGCGACCUAAAUAACGUCCCCUUUCAUGGUGCUCUCCUGGUCCAACGUACAGCCCUAUAAAGGGUGUCAUUUCAGAUUGAACAAAUCCUUCUAAUAUCCUGCCUUUUUAUAUAUAGACUGGUGAUGUCAUCAACCUGCGACCUAAAUAACGUCCCCUUUCAUGGUGCUCUCCUGGUCCAACGUACAGCCCUAUAGAGGGUGUCAUUUCAGAUUGAACAAAUCCUUCUAAUAUCCUGCCUUUUUAUAUAGACUGGUGAUGUCAUCAACCUGCGACCUAAAUAACGUCCCCUUUCAUGGUGCUCUCCUGGUCCAACGUACAGCCCUAUAGAGGGUGUCAUUUCAGAUUGAACAAAUCCUUCUAAUAUCCUGCCUUUUUAUAUAGACUGGUGAUGUCAUCAACCUGCGACCUAAAUAACGUCCCCUUUCAUGGUGCUCUCCUGGUCCAACGUACGGCCCUAUAGAGGGUGUCAUUUCAGAUUGAACAAAUCCUUUAAUAUCCUGCCUUUUUAUAUAGACUGGUGAUGUCAUCAACCUGCGACUUAAAUAAAACAAGAUGUGAACUGUCAUCACAGACUCUCU
Oncorhynchus tshawytscha (Chinook salmon) is the source of this 1579-nucleotide long non-coding RNA. The record is from Ensembl. Lineage: Eukaryota; Metazoa; Chordata; Actinopteri; Salmoniformes; Salmonidae.